CUAGGCAACUUGUAUCUAUUAUAGGUCUUUUUUAUUUUAGCUUCCCUCCUUGGGGAGGUCGGCUUUAAUAAAAAGGUGUAAAACUAUCUUAGAUCUUUUUGCAUAUAUCGGGGGAUUUGCGUAAGAUUCUAUUGGUGAGUAUUCGCACUCGGAAGGGCAAUGAUGAAUGUUGAAUUAUCGGACAUAGUACGCUAAGGUUGUAUGUCUAAAGGGAAACAGCCCAGAACAAGAGUUAAGGUUCCAAAAUUAAUGUUAAGUGAAAUUAAGGAAGUUCCUAUUAAAUACGACUAGGAAAUAGGCUUAGAAGCGGCCAUUUUUUGAAGACCUCGUAACAGAGCACUGGUUUAGUAAAUUAAAAUUUACAUUUAUAGAGGGCGCCGAAAAUUUAACGGAUCUAAACAAUAUACCGACACCUUGUCCGCAUUUACAAGAGUAAAUUUUGCUCUGGUUCUUGUGGGGUAGCAGAACGUUGGGUAGAUAUAUCACUUUAUCUUUUCAAGAUAAAGGAGGGCGGCCUUCUCAGACUAUACAAAUGGAGGAGGAGAAGGAUUUUAACGUAAAAAAGGUUAUCAAAAACGAUAGGUCAAACCGUAGGUCAAAUAAUAGGUCACUGACUUAAAAGUAUAUCCCAAGUGAGAAUGCUGACAUGAGUAACGAAAAAGGGUAAAACCUCGCCUUAAGCUUAUGGUUUUUAUUAAAGUAACGGCCUCUAAGUUUACAAACCUAAAGGAUAAAACGAUGAGAAAAUCUGAAAUACUAGUAACANCCUUUAUUUAAGUGAUAAAGUGUUCUGGAAAAACUAGUAAAAAAAGUCUAAUGGGCUAAUGUGCUAUUUAGAUGGNCAAUAAACUAAAGAGAUGAGAAAGUCUGUAAUAGUGAUGUACCGUACCUAGAAACUACC
Molecule: ribosomal RNA, 901 nt
Filed under: Tryblidiopsis pinastri
Lineage: Eukaryota; Fungi; Ascomycota; Leotiomycetes; Rhytismatales; Rhytismataceae
Description: partial large subunit ribosomal RNA
Rfam family: Bacterial large subunit ribosomal RNA (bases 1-466)
Source: RNAcentral